Molecule: ribosomal RNA, 497 nt
Filed under: uncultured bacterium
Lineage: Bacteria
Description: partial 16S ribosomal RNA
Rfam family: Bacterial small subunit ribosomal RNA
Source: RNAcentral
GAUGAACGCUGGCGGCGUGCCUAAUACAUGCAAGUCGAGCGAACGGACGAGAAGCUUGCUUCUCUGAUGUUAGCGGCGGACGGGUGAGUAACACGUGGAUAACCUACCUAUAAGACUGGGAUAACUUCGGGAAACCGGAGCUAAUACCGGAUGAUAUUUUGAACCGCAUGGUUCAAAAGUGAAAGACGGUCUUGCUGUCACUUAUAGAUGGAUCCGCGCUGCAUUAGCUAGUUGGUAAGGUAACGGCCUACCAAGGCAACGAUGCAUAGCCGACCUGAGAGGAUGAUCGGCCACACUGGAACUGAGACACGGUCCAGACUCCUACGGGAGGCAGCAGUAGGGAAUCUUCCACAAUGGGCGAAAGCCUGACGCAGCAAUGCCGCGUGAGUGAUGAAGGUCUUCGGAUCGUAAAGCUCUGUUAUUAGGGAAGAACAUAUGUGGAAGUAACUGUGCAUAUCUUGACGGUACCUAAUCAGAAAGCCACGGCUAACUACGUG